This 237-nucleotide ribosomal RNA is filed under the name uncultured bacterium. Its description in RNAcentral is "partial 16S ribosomal RNA". It matches the Rfam family "Bacterial small subunit ribosomal RNA", at positions 100 to 334 of the family's 1533-position model. The record is from RNAcentral.
CCGGCACGGGUGAGUAACACGUAUCCAACCUGCCGUCUACUCUUGGACAGCCUUCUGAAAGGAAGAUUAAUACAAGAUGGCAUCAUGAGUUCGCAUGUUCACAUGAUUAAAGGUAUUCCGGUAGACGAUGGGGAUGCGUUCCAUUAGAUAGUAGGCGGGGUAACGGCCCACCCAGUCUUCGAUGGAUAGGGGUUCUGAGAGGAAGGUCCCCCACAUUGGAACUGAGACACGGUCCAA